This 220-nucleotide ribosomal RNA is filed under the name uncultured bacterium. Its description in RNAcentral is "partial 16S ribosomal RNA". It matches the Rfam family "Bacterial small subunit ribosomal RNA", at positions 1283 to 1500 of the family's 1533-position model. The record is from RNAcentral.
CAUUCUCAGUUCGGAUUGUAGGCUGAAACUCGCCUACAUGAAGCUGGAGUUACUAGUAAUCGCAGAUCAGAAUGCUGCGGUGAAUGCGUUCCCGGGUCUUGUACACACCGCCCGUCACACCACGGAAGUUGGGGGCGCCCGAAGCCACUUAGCUAACCCAUUUGGGAAGCGAGUGUCGAAGGUGAAAUCAAUAACUGGGGUGAAGUCGUAACAAGGUAGC